RNAcentral lists this ribosomal RNA (269 nucleotides) under uncultured prokaryote. RNAcentral's name for it is "partial 16S ribosomal RNA". It matches the Rfam family "Bacterial small subunit ribosomal RNA", at positions 524 to 792 of the family's 1533-position model. The record is from RNAcentral.
GACAGAGGUGGCAAGCGUUGUUCGGAUUUACUGGGCAUAAAGGGCGCGUAGGUGGUCAGGAAGGUCAGUGGUGAAAUCCCCCGACCCAAUCGAGGAAUUGCCUCUGAAACCUCCUGACUAGAGUGCAAAAGGGGAGAGUGGAACUCGAGGUGGAGCGGUGAUAUGCGUAGAUAUCUCGGGGAACGCCGGUGGCGAAAGCGACUCUCUGGUUUGUGACUGACACUGAUGCGCGAAAGCCAGGGGAGCAAACGGGAUUAGAUACCCCAGUA